UACGGGGGGAGCAAGCGUUGUUCGGAUUUACUGGGCGUAAAGGGCGCGUAGGCGGUCAGCACAAGUCAGUUGUGAAAUCUCCGGGCUUAACUCGGAAAGGUCAACUGAUACUGUGCGACUAGAGUGCAGAAGGGGCAACUGGAAUUCUCGGUGUAGCGGUGAAAUGCGCAGAUAUCAGGAGGAACACCGGUGGCGAAGGCGGUUCUCUGGGCAUGAUCUGACGCUGAGGAGCGAAAGUGUGGGGAGCGAACAGG
RNAcentral lists this ribosomal RNA (254 nucleotides) under uncultured bacterium. RNAcentral's name for it is "partial 16S ribosomal RNA". It matches the Rfam family "Bacterial small subunit ribosomal RNA", at positions 524 to 776 of the family's 1533-position model. The record is from RNAcentral.